RNAcentral lists this long non-coding RNA (2600 nucleotides) under Equus asinus (donkey). Its description in RNAcentral is "lncRNA (ENSEASG00005025193.1)". Lineage: Eukaryota; Metazoa; Chordata; Mammalia; Perissodactyla; Equidae. The record is from RNAcentral.
UGGUUGCCCAGCAGGAGGUCCCAUUUGGCCUGUGGCACAGUACGCAGGACAGAUUACAUGGAGAUGGCUGCCUGAGGGCAGUCAUGGGAAGGAGAGGGCACGUGUCUUACCUCCUACUCUCCCUGCACUGUUCAGAGUUUGACCCCUUGGAAGCCAGAUGUUAAGACCGCUGUGGUGGCGUUUGUAACUCAAGUCUGGAAGUGACAAGAGAAGACAUUAACUCAGAGCACGUAGCUGGUUGGCAGCCAAGGAGAGAGCUCACAUUCCCAGGGCACGUGACUGGUCAGCCCCCAGAAGGUCCAGGAGGUGUUGGAAUUGAGAGAUCUGAAGAUAUGUCCGACCCAGCAUUUCAUAAGUGUAUCAUGCCUGUUGGUCCCCUACUAGACAGAAGCAUCUUCCAGAGACACACCUGCCUGAUUUGAUGACCUAUCCCCAGGCUGGUGGAGUGCCUGGCACAAAAUAGGUGCUGAACGCCAAGCUUGCCACACCAAGUUCCAAUACUGCAGAGCUUCCCCCAACUUCCCAGGCAGGUUUCACCAAGGAGGAAUUAACGUCGAGAUGAGACGUGGAGAGGGAGCCGCUCUUCGCUUGACUGGCGCGUGGCUCCCCAGGAUUGGGGCUUCAGCGUAUCCUGGCAGAUUGCUGCUACACGUUGCUGGGUUACAAAAGCCCCACAUCAACAAAACUCCUGCUGAGAAAGAAUCACCAGAUUGAAGCAUCUGCUCCAGAGCCAAAUAGAAGUUACAAAUUGUUAAAGUCCAGAUGACGUCACACUGGGCUCCCACUACAGUUCCGGCUGAUCCCAGGACCUUGAAGGUCUUCUACAGAGAAACUAAUGUCCAGAGAACAUCAAGACACCAAAGCUUCCCAGGCCCAACUCCUCGGCUUCCUGAUGUCACAGUCUACCUUCCACCAUGGAGAUAAAGAGGCAAGGACACUCAUCUGAGAAAUCCUGUGUCUCCUCCACUGGAAGCAGCCCCAGAUGUGGGCCAAGGGGAAAAUGCUGACCAAGAAGGCCCCUCCACCCCCAAACCCCAAUGAAAACCCCUACCCAUUUCUUAACAAGGAGCAAAGCAAGGGCCGGUGCCCAAAAAGCUGACUUCUGCCUGGCAAAGUAAAGCCUGCCCUUUUUCACCCAAGACUCUGUUCUCGUUAUUUGGAUUGGCAUCGGGAUCAGAGAUCGAACUUUUGGUAACAAUGCUUCUAAAAAGGUUCUUGUAUUUCUUUGAGACCAUUUCUCAGAGUUUCAGAAAAUUGUAUGUAACCCAAGUGACGCAGGCUCUUUCAGUGAAACUACUUAGUGUUAACUCUCCCAUUUCCCAGCUGCAGAACAAGAGUGAGGUCAGAGGCCCACUGCAAGGUCAGGCUCGCAUCCUGAGAUCCAGAGUCAUUCAAGGGGAAUCCAUGAGGAAAAAGCAGAAAAGAGACCCUGGGUUGGCAUGUUCUGUCCUGGAAAUUGCUAUGGCAGUUACUAAAACCCCAAGUAAGCCUUCCUCAAGGAGAAGCAGCAGAGCAAAGGCUUACCGCCACUCGGGUGCCCACUCCUGUCACCGCUGGGGCAGGGACGGGCCACCAGAGCCAAAGCCAGGACAGCCUGCUUGGCCCUGCCCACCACGGCCUAAACUCUGCUGUCCCAGAGUGACUUAGGCAAGUCACUGCCCUCUCUGGACCUUUGCCCUGAGAUGGUGCAUCAGCAGGGAGGGCCAGAAGUUCCACAAGGGAGCUGCUGGGUUUAGCAAUGUGAUGUGGUCUCCCCCACCCUCUACAUUUCAUCGAUUUAUUUUUGAACAGGUCAUGAUAGCAAACACUUUGUGCCGGGCCCUGCUCUAAACCUUUACAUAUAUUAAUUCAUUUAAUCCUUCCAACAACUCUAGAGGGAGAUGCCAUUAUCAUCAUUCCCAUUUACAGAGGAGGAUGUGAGACACAGACAGCUUAAGGUUAAAGAUGAACAGAUAAAGAGAUCAAGGCACUGAGAGAUUGCCUUCUCACACUCACUUAGGUGGCAAGGGGCAGAGCCAGGUUAGAAUGCAGGCAGCCUCCCGCCAGCUUAGUGCCCUCACCCUGCAGUCCUGACAGCUCUGUCCUCCAGACUCCCAGUUCCUCUCAAAUUCUCUCUCUCGAGGCUACUACUAUCAAUAAUUUUUGUGUAUCUUUUCAAAAAAUGUUGUGUGGCAUUUAUACAUUACAUACACACAUGCACAUAUAUAGUAUAUUAUACAUAUAACAUAGACAUAUAUCCUUUCUUUCUUCAGACAAAUAGUAGCUAAUAUACUCUUCCUUUUUGCACCAAAUACAAGGACAUGAUCUUUUUAUGUCAAUUCAUUUAGAGCUGCCCCAUUCUUUUUAGGAACAACAUGGUAUAUCCCAUUGCAUAAACCAUAAUUUUAUAAACCACCGCCUACUGAUCACAUUUAGCUUGUUUCCAUUAUUUUACAAUUACAAAGAACACUGCAGUGAAUAUUCUUGUGGAUACACCAUUUGCACAAGUGAGCCUGUGGCAGGCGGACUGGUCCCCCAGGAUGUCCAUGUUCUAAUUGCUGGAACUUGUGAAUAUGUUACGUUACGUGGCAAAAGGGACUUUGCAGAUGGAAUUACGAUUU